This 445-nucleotide ribosomal RNA is filed under the name uncultured bacterium. RNAcentral describes it as "partial 16S ribosomal RNA". It matches the Rfam family "Bacterial small subunit ribosomal RNA", at positions 354 to 796 of the family's 1533-position model. The record is from RNAcentral.
GUGAGGAAUAUUGGUCAAUGGACGAGAGUCUGAACCAGCCAAGUAGCGUGAAAGAUGACUGCCCUAUGGGUUGUAAACUUCUUUUAUAAGGGAAUAAAGUGAGGGACGUGUCCCUUUUUGUAUGUACCUUAUGAAUAAGGAUCGGCUAACUCCGUGCCAGCAGCCGCGGUAAUACGGAGGAUCCAAGCGUUAUCCGGAUUUAUUGGGUUUAAAGGGAGCGUAGGUUGACAUAUAAGUCAGCUGUGAAAGUUUACGGCUCAACUGUGAAAUUGAAGUUGAUACUGUAUGUCUUGAGUGUACAAGAGGUGGACGGAAUGCGUGGUGUAGCGGUGAAAUGCUUAGAUAUCACGAAGAACUCCAAUUGCGAAGGCAGCUCACUGGGGUACAACUGACACUGAGGCUCGAAAGUGUGGGUAUCAAACAGGAUUAGAAACCCCGGUAGUCC